CUUCUCCUUCGGGAGCAGAGUGACAGGUGGUGCAUGGUUGUCGUCAGCUCGUGUCGUGAGAUGUUGGGUUAAGUCCCGCAACGAGCGCAACCCUUGAUCUUAGUUGCCAUCAUUAAGUUGGGCACUCUAAGGUGACUGCCGGUGACAAACCGGAGGAAGGUGGGGAUGACGUCAAAUCAUCAUGCCCCUUAUGACCUGGGCUACACACGUGCUACAAUGGACGGUACAAAGAGCUGCAAGACCGCGAGGUGGAGCUAAUCUCAUAAAACCGUUCUCAGUUCGGAUUGUAGGCUGCAACUCGCCUACAUGAAGCUGGAAUCGCUAGUAAUCGCGGAUCAGCAUGCCGCGGUGAAUACGUUCCCGGGCCUUGUACACACCGCCCGUCACACCACGAGAGUUUGUAACACCCGAAGUCGGUGGGGUAACCUUUUUGGAGCCAGCCGCCUAAGGUGGGACAGAUGAUUGGGGUGAAGUCGUAACAAGGUAGCCGUAUCGGAAGGUGCGGCUG
This 508-nucleotide ribosomal RNA is filed under the name Bacillus cereus. Its description in RNAcentral is "bacterial SSU rRNA". It matches the Rfam family "Bacterial small subunit ribosomal RNA", at positions 1012 to 1520 of the family's 1533-position model. Lineage: Bacteria; Bacillati; Bacillota; Bacilli; Caryophanales; Bacillaceae. The record is from RNAcentral.